GAAUAUUGUCCUACGUCAAGAAGAAGGAGCAGUCAUACAUCUAAUUUGGUUGACUGUAUGCAUCUCGACUCGUUUUCGGAAGGACACUUAGAGUUUUGUGGUUGCAGUCAGGCGCAACCUUCUCUCAACAAAUUUUGGGCCAAAGGAUCCUCUGAAAACCCCUAACGCUUUGUUUAGGAAAUUUCACUGAAUCAAAAUGGCUUUGCAGAAUAUUGGAGCUGCCAACAGUGAUGAUGCCUUCUACAGGUACAA
RNAcentral lists this long non-coding RNA (252 nucleotides) under Nicotiana benthamiana. RNAcentral's name for it is "long non-coding RNA (NBEN_LNC001291)". The record is from RNAcentral. Lineage: Eukaryota; Viridiplantae; Streptophyta; Magnoliopsida; Solanales; Solanaceae.